Felis catus (domestic cat) is the source of this 4516-nucleotide long non-coding RNA. RefSeq lists it as uncharacterized. The transcript has 2 exons. Lineage: Eukaryota; Metazoa; Chordata; Mammalia; Carnivora; Felidae. The record is from RefSeq and is a predicted model, not a curated record.
CUUAAAUAACUUGGGUGUAAGAGCAGGUCUAUGUCCAAGUCAGCUGCAAAAUUUUUAAGUUUCCUGGUCAAAAGGGAGGGGUUCCAUAGCAUUCUAUGGUCUUUUUAUUUUUUAUUAACAACAUUCAACUUAACCAUUAAAGACUCACUGAACAUAUCCCACGAAACCUGAAGAUUGUCAAUUAAUAUUCACAAGUUUACAGGGCAUACAGAAGUUUGCUGAAGACCAAAGAAUGUCCACUUUUUAGCGUAACUCAUUUCACCAAUUCCAGAAUGGAGCGCACUUAGAGUCCAAAACUGGGACAUGAUGCUAACAUGGGAAAAAAGCUCAUGGAAGAUCUUUGCAUCGACCUUCGCAGGAAGUGAUGUCUUUGGCUCCUUUAUGAAACAUAUAGGCCAUAUGCUUGGAAGUGCGUGUUAGGGUGGGGCUAGGAAGUGGAGAAGGCAGAGAAAGAGGGUCUCCACAACUUUCCAAAGUUCUAGAACUCUAAAACUUGGUGAUGCUGACUAAAAUAAAAGGGAUACAGAAGAACUGAUAACCUUACCAUGUAGACUUGAUCCCAUUCCAGAUGGGCAGUAGGAGGGAGGCAGAAUGCAAGAUGACGGUGUUUGGUGCCGUAGCAAUUUCACAGUAUCUGUCUAGCUUCAUACCAGAGUGGAUGUCAUGACCCUAAUGCAGGAAAUAAGUGGAAGGAACCAAGUAGCCAUAGUAACAGUGCAGCCAAGAGGAAACACUCUGGAACAGGAGACCAAUCUGGCAACGGGAUCCAAUUAAAAGUUGGUAAUUGAAUGGAACUGAAAACCAUGUAUCAGUUGAAGAGAUACAGUGAGUGGUGAGUCAGACCCCUCAGAAAGGAAGAGAAGCAGGCAGUCUGCUUGAAUGUGCUUUUGUGGACAAUGGAGGGGGACGGCCCACGACGUUUUAUGAUGCCUCAAGAAUUUGAGUCACUCUUAAAAGGACACACCAAGGACCAGAAAUUUUAAAACAACGGUAUUUCAUGUGAUAUAUGCUCCUAAAAACUGAUAAAUGAUGAUGCCCUGUGUUUAUAUGCUAUCUUUUCUUAAGGGCCACUUAGAUCCCUUUUUUUUUUUUUUCCAUUUUUCCCCCCUCUUUCUGAUUUUGUGAAGAAAGCUGUAUAAUGUUCCACAGCUGAAAAUACACAGAUACUAUUUUUCUCUACUUCUUUGAUGGGGCUAAGAUUUAUGAAUCGGUCCAAAGAACUUUGAGAAUUACUUAUGCUGUAAUUCAAAAACUCAAAAUUGUUAUUAUUCCCAAGCACCGCUUCAUUAAAGUCAACAACGGAAACAAAAAAAUUACUUAGCAGCACUUAGAGAACAUAAAAACAGAGGGAGGUUAUCUGUUCCACUGACAGUAGACUAAUAGCGGCACCUUUGAUGAUGUGUCAUACUGUAAUAAAACUACUCUUGGGCACAGGUAUCCCAGGAUAUAUUGGCUCUUAAAUCAGGAGCAUCUCUUAAGAGUGGGAUUUGGGGGUGACAAAAAAGAAUGGACAUUCUUUGUGGAAGGGGUAUCAUGAGCAAAUAUACAGAGGCAGGAAAACCAGUAUCACAAGCAUAUUAACAGGAAUACUGUUUGGUUUGAGAACAGAGUUCGCAGAGGGGACCUACAGAAGACUGGUCUGGGAUGGCAGAGUGGAACCAGGUUGUGGGCAGCCUUAAGAUGGGGGACUACUUUUAACGACAUGAGGAAUGAUUAAAAAGAGCUGACACUUAAUCAAAUCUUGUGCUUUCGUAAGAAGCUAAAUCUGGGGGUGCCUGGCUGGCUCAGUCAGUGGAGCACGUGACUCUUGAUCUCAGGGUUUAAGUUUGAACUCCACGUCGGAUGUAGAGAUUACUUAAAAAUAAAUUAAUAUAGGAUGCUAUAACUGUCCAAUGGUGAAGUAAUGAAAGCCUGAAUUAUGACAGUGGUAGUUAGGAUGGAAAGGAGAGACAGAUCUAGAAAAUGAUUAGAAAUUAGAAGAGAAUUAGAAAUGGGUACAAAGUGGUCAGAAACGCUCACCAACAGUAAACUCAAGAGGCAAAAUAACAGCAUCAGAAAAGCCUUAUUUCUGGGGAAGUCCUAUUAGCACCCACAGCACCAGGAUGCACUUAGGUCGCUGCAUCACCUGAGAUGCCUUGCUUUGGGCUCUCUCCUGUCCGGGCUUUUCUGGCUCAGGUUACGCCAAACUAGUCUAUGAAUUCUUCCUCAAAUCGGUCACCCACCUGCAUCUGUACCCACACCGUGCCUUGUGUCCUAUUGCCUUGGAUGAACUAUCUGUGCAUCAAAGUGACCCCUUCCACCUGUGCCACACCCCUCCCCCACUCAGGGAACUCAUCCAGUCUCGUGACUUCAGAGAACAUCUCUAGUGACUUCUGCAGAUUCAGGUUUACAACCCAGGCCUCUUUUCCCAAGUCCACACUCCACACCUGCAUAAGCAACUUAGCAUGUAUUUCCCCUCUCAGUAAACUGCAAUUUCUUCCAGGUGCUCGGGCCAAAAGCCUGAGAGUCAUCCUCGACUUGCUUCCUUCUCUCACAUCCUAUACUUAAACGGUCAGUAAAACCCACCAAUUCUACUUUUAGAGCCUAUCAGGAAUUGAACUUCUUACUCCUUCUCACUCGCAGCACUAUGGCAACCUUCCAACUCCUCUGCCUACCUCCACCUUGCUGGUCUCAGCAUGGCCCGGGCACUUUUAAAACAAGUCAAUCAGAUCCACCUCUACCUAGAACUCCUCAGUGGUUUCCUACCUCACUCAGAGUAAAAACAAAAGGUCUAGGAGGCCCUAUGUGACAUGUACCCCAGCCACCCCCUGAUCUCAUCUAUUUCUUCCAGCCACGCUGGCCUCCCUGGUGCUCCUAGAUGAAGCCAAACAGGCUCCUACUCCCGGGGAAAAUACCGCUGCCUUGGUCUACAAAGUUCUCCCGAGAGACACCUAGCAGGCUCUGUCCUCAUCUUUCUCAAUUCUCUGUUCGAAUGACACCUCAAAAGUGACCCGUCCUUGUUUUCUACAUAAAGUCCCAAGCCCAUCUCACCGCAGCACUCACUAUCCCACGAUUCCAUUUUGAUUUUUUUCUAUAGUGCUGUCAUGAGUUGAAUACCAUUCUCUGAAAAUCCAUGUCCUUUCUGAAAGCUCAGAAUAUGACCUUAUUUGGAAACAGGGUCCUUGUAGAUGUAAUCAAAUUAGGAUGAGGUCAUAAGGAUGGGCCCUAAUCCAGUAUGACUGAUGCCCUUGUAAGAAGAGGGAAAUGUGGACACACAUAGUGAGAGAGCUCCCUGUGAAGAGGAGGAGGCAGAGACCGGAGUGGCCCAUCUACAAGCCCAGGACCAUGAAGGACUGCCAGCUGUCCCCAUGAGCUGGGUUUAGGAAGCAAUCUUGAGGACGGCCCAAUUCAAGGAGAAGCAAGUGCAAUGCCCCGCGUGACGAUCAUCCACCAUGCAAGCGAGAAGCACAGGAUUUAUAGGAGGUUGAGAGAAAGAACCGAGGUGCCUUGAGUAAGUACUUCAACUGCUCUCUGCCUCACAAAUCAUUCCCAUUAGCAUUCACUGCAAGGGUGGACUCCGACGGCAAGCUUUCUCCGAAGCACCCGUCACUAAUUCCUCACUAAUUCUGUGUGCUUCCAGCAGAGCCUGGCUACCGUGAGGACAGCCCCCGGGGUCAAAUGCAGCAGCUUCCUGCGUUAAAUGCAGGCCUCAGACCAGACUGUGCUCGUCUGCUUGUUCUGACGAGGGCAAAGCAUCUAUUUGGGUUCCACAUUUCCAGCCAGAGGGAAAAAUACCCUUUCCUUGUUUGACAUAAAAAGGAGAAAAAACGCUCAGCAGGCUUAAGGCAUGCACCUUCUAACUCACAGGACAGAACAAAAUGCUGAGUAGGGACACUGUCGUAUAGCACACGCAGACCCCCUUUAACGCCCUCAGGAAGAAGUCCCAGUGCUCACCGAGAACACACCCUCAGCAAACAGCCUGUUCUUUUUAUGCUACCCACUGGCUCUCUUUCUUAAUGGAGAGCCAGGCUACAUUUUACAAGAACCAUACCCUGUCAUUAGACAUCUUCUGAUCCACAGAUGGACAAGAACUUGGAAGAAUUUAGAAAGCUGAGGAAGAAUGGCUAGAAGCCUUUUAGGGAGAGUUCAUGAAAAGCCAAAACACUUUCCAAGUGGUUAUGUGUCCACAACGGUCUUUGCUUUGUGUGCCAUGUAUUUUUUUCUUUUAGUCUUCAAGAUUUUGGUUUUAAUUAUUUCGCUGAUGAAUUUUAUAUUAAAUGUAAACUCCGGGGCAGAGCUUUGCUGUCUAAUGAAAUGUAUGCAGCCAAUGAAGAAGUUUAAGCUGCAAGAUCCAGUGUGUUCCACACAUUUGCAAUCAUCUGUGGAAAGUCAACUACUCUGGGCCUCAGUUGGCCCACAGGAAGAUACAGGAGACACUCCCAGGUCACUGAUAUUAUAUAAUUACCGUGUCAAAUACCAACAUACCCUUAUGGCGAAUCCCCUUUCCACUUCCAAAUAAAUGGAUAUUUGUUUUCAA